GCGCCGAGCAGGACGCCGGCGGGGGCGGCCUGCUGUGCGUGAACGUGCUCCGCCAGGACCGCGGCGCCGCGCUGACCACCGGGGGCAGCAGAGAGUCCAGGGAGUGCAGAGAUCUGCUGCUACAGACCCUUCUGAGUGGAGAUGUUGUGAAAUUGCUGAAGUUGUCUUUCAUCACAGCCCAUCCCAUAUCCUCCCAAGACCUCAGACAGCAAGCAGGGUUAAGGCUCAAAGAAAUGAAGGAACAAAGGCAUCAUUUAUCUGUGGAGGCAACUAAAUCUUAUUACGAGGCUGGACUCUCCAGACUUGUGAAAGAAUAUUGUACUCGCUUCCAGAUCAUCAACAAGGACCAGUGCGACCAUCUCUUACAGUGGGUGAAAGCAGGGACGUAUUUGGAUAAAAAUACUGAAGAGUAUAAAGAAAUACUGGACCUUCUUAAAAAAUGAGAAAUA
RNAcentral lists this long non-coding RNA (449 nucleotides) under Lepisosteus oculatus (spotted gar). RNAcentral's name for it is "lncRNA (ENSLOCG00000022233.1)". The record is from RNAcentral. Lineage: Eukaryota; Metazoa; Chordata; Actinopteri; Semionotiformes; Lepisosteidae.